RNAcentral lists this ribosomal RNA (140 nucleotides) under Pseudomonadota bacterium. Its description in RNAcentral is "Proteobacteria bacterium (activated sludge metagenome) partial 16S ribosomal RNA". It matches the Rfam family "Bacterial small subunit ribosomal RNA", at positions 1 to 142 of the family's 1533-position model. Lineage: Bacteria; Pseudomonadati; Pseudomonadota. The record is from RNAcentral.
GAACUGAAGAGUUUGAUCCUGGCUCAGAUUGAACGCUGGCGGCAUGCCUUACACAUGCAAGUCGAACGGCAACGCGGGGCAACCUGGCGACGAGUGGCGAACGGGUGAGUAAUGCAUCGGAACGUGCCCAGUAGAGGGGG